This 209-nucleotide unclassified non-coding RNA is filed under the name plant metagenome. RNAcentral describes it as "partial contains small subunit ribosomal RNA, internal transcribed spacer 1, and 5.8S ribosomal RNA". The record is from RNAcentral.
UCUCCGUUGGUGAACCAGCGGAGGGAUCAUUACUGGAAUCGCAAGAUCCCACAACCCCUGUGAACCUACCGGAACGUUGCCUCGGCGGGCGCCCGGCCCCGCGCCGGGCGCUGAGCCCGCCGGCGGCCCCCUACUCUUGUCUCUGCAGCGUGGCAUCUCAGAGUCCAGAAAACAAGUAAGAACUUUCAACAACGGAUCUCUUGGCUCUA